Molecule: ribosomal RNA, 1198 nt
Filed under: uncultured Bacillota bacterium
Lineage: Bacteria; Bacillati; Bacillota
Description: bacterial SSU rRNA
Rfam family: Bacterial small subunit ribosomal RNA
Source: RNAcentral
CAUCUUAGUGGCGCACGGGUGAGUAACACGUGGGCAACCUACCCGGGAGUUCGGGAUAACAGUGCGAAAGUACUGCUAAUACCGGAUAUUUUCACGAAGCUGCAUGGUUUUGUGAAGAAAGUUUUUCGCUUCCGGAUGGGCCCGCGUCCCAUUAGCUAGUUGGUGAGGUAACAGCUCACCAAGGCGACGAUGGGUAGCUGGUCUGAGAGGACGAUCAGCCACACUGGAACUGAGACACGGUCCAGACUCCUACGGGAGGCAGCAGUGGGGAAUCUUGCGCAAUGGGCGGAAGCCUGACGCAGCAACGCCGCGUGAAUGAUGAAGGCCUUCGGGUUGUAAAGUUCUGUCAGGGGGGACGAUAAUGACGGUACCCCCGGAGGAAGCCCCGGCUAACUACGUGCCAGCAGCCGCGGUAAUACGUAGGGGGCGAGCGUUGUCCGGAAUUAUUGGGCGUAAAGGGCGUGUAGGCGGCCGAUCAAGUCUGGUGUGAAAAUCCGGGGCUUAACCCCGGAAGUGCAUUGGAAACUGGUUGGCUUGAGUGCGGGAGAGGAAAGUGGAAUUCCCAGUGUAGCGGUGAAAUGCGUAGAUAUUGGGAGGAACACCAGUGGCGAAGGCGACUUUCUGGACUGCAACUGACGCUGAGGCGCGAAAGCUAGGGGAGCAAACAGGAUUAGAUACCCUGGUAGUCCUAGCCGUAAACGAUGGGUACUAGGUGUAGGGGGUUUAGACGCCCUCUGUGCCGCAGUUAACGCACUAAGUACCCCGCCUGGGGAGUACGGCCGCAAGGCUGAAACUCAAAGGAAUUGACGGGGGCCCGCACAAGCGGUGGAGCAUGUGGUUUAAUUCGAAGCAACGCGAAGAACCUUACCAAGGCUUGACAUGUACCUGACGGUUCUGUGAAAGCAGGCUUUCUUUUCGGAGACGGGUACACAGGUGGUGCAUGGUUGUCGUCAGCUCGUGUCGUGAGAUGUUGGGUUAAGUCCCGCAACGAGCGCAACCCUUGUUCUUAGUUGCCAGCGGUUCAGCCGGGCACUCUAAGGAGACUGCCGGUGACAAACCGGAGGAAGGUGGGGAUGACGUCAAAUCAUCAUGCCCUUUAUGUCUUGGGCUACACACGUGCUACAAUGGCCAGUACAAUGGGUUGCCAAGGGGCGACCUGGAGCCAAUCCCAUAAAACUGGUCUCAGUUCGGAUUGCAG